RNAcentral lists this ribosomal RNA (253 nucleotides) under uncultured bacterium. RNAcentral's name for it is "partial 16S ribosomal RNA". It matches the Rfam family "Bacterial small subunit ribosomal RNA", at positions 524 to 776 of the family's 1533-position model. The record is from RNAcentral.
UACGUAGGGUGCAAGCGUUGUCCGGAAUUAUUGGGCGUAAAGAGCUCGUAGGCGGUUCGUCGCGUCGGCUGUGAAAUCCCGGGGCUUAACCCCGGGCGUGCAGUGGAUACGGGCAGGCUGGAGGCAGGCAGGGGAGAACGGAAUUCCCGGUGUAGCGGUGAAAUGCGCAGAUAUCGGGAGGAACACCGGUGGCGAAGGCGGUUCUCUGGGCCUGUACUGACGCUGAGGAGCGAAAGCGUGGGGAGCGAACAGG